GUGAGUGGCGGACGGGUGAGUAACACGUGGGUAACCUGCCCUAAAGUGGGGGAUAACAUUUGGAAACAGAUGCUAAUACCGCAUAAAACCUAACACCGCAUGGUGUAGGGUUGAAAGAUGGUUUCGGCUAUCACUUUAGGAUGGACCCGCGGUGCAUUAGUUAGUUGGUGAGGUAAAGGCUCACCAAGACCGUGAUGCAUAGCCGACCUGAGAGGGUAAUCGGCCACACUGGGACUGAGACACGGCCCAGACUCCUACGGGAGGCAGCAGUAGGGAAUCUUCCACAAUGGACGAAAGUCUGAUGGAGCAACGCCGCGUGAGUGAAGAAGGUUUUCGGAUCGUAAAACUCUGUUGUUGGAGAAGAAUGUAUCUGAUAGUAACUGAUCAGGUAGUGACGGUAU
This 401-nucleotide ribosomal RNA is filed under the name Latilactobacillus sakei. RNAcentral's name for it is "bacterial SSU rRNA". It matches the Rfam family "Bacterial small subunit ribosomal RNA", at positions 91 to 478 of the family's 1533-position model. The record is from RNAcentral. Lineage: Bacteria; Bacillati; Bacillota; Bacilli; Lactobacillales; Lactobacillaceae.